This 266-nucleotide ribosomal RNA is filed under the name uncultured bacterium. Its description in RNAcentral is "partial 16S ribosomal RNA". It matches the Rfam family "Bacterial small subunit ribosomal RNA", at positions 333 to 591 of the family's 1533-position model. The record is from RNAcentral.
CUAAGCCUACGGGGGGCAGCAGUAGGGAAUCUUCCACAAUGGACGAAAGUCUGAUGGAGCAACGCCGCGUGAGUGAAGAAGGGUUUCGGCUCGUAAAGCUCUGUUGGUAGGGAAGAAAGAUAGAGGUAGUAACUGGCCUUUAUUUGACGGUAAUUACUUAGAAAGUCACGGCUAACUACGUGCCAGCAGCCGCGGUAAUACGUAGGUGGCAAGCGUUGUCCGGGUUUAUUGGGCGUAAAGCGAGUGCAGGCGGUUCAAUAAGUCUG